AUGCGUGGACGGACGGGGCGGCGGCGGCGCGGCCGGGGAUUGGCCGAGGCGGGCGGGGAGGGGGGGGCCGCAAGGUGCGGGUGAGCGGCGCGGCGCGUGCGCCCUAGGGCGGUUGCCCCGCGUGCGGGGGGCGCCUGCGUUCCCGCCCGCCCCUGAGGGGAGCCGUGCGUGGGGCCGGUAGGGCGGGGCUCACCGACCGUGGCUGCUCGGGAGGCUGAUGGCUGCUUCCCGCGUCGGGGGCAGGCCCUUCCUGUCAGCGGUCGCCGCGGGGCGAAGCAGGGACAGGGACGGGAGCCCGGGGCGGGGGUGCUGUCGCCACAGAGCGCUGCGAGAGCCGCUCCGCGGGAGGCUGAGAGGGCUGCUGGAGCGGCCUCGGCCGGGCCUACCGGCUCAGGGGGCUUCGGCCUGCCGAGCGGCGGCUCGGUUUGUGCCCGGCUCCCAGCCCUCGCGUUCCUUUAGCGUGGACCGAGAUGACUUAAGACUCUGCCUCACCGCACCCUGGAAAGCGCCGUGCAUUUGCACUGUCGUUGUAAAGGUUGCAAGGAAGUAAUUUAACUCUCAUCUUGGAAGUGGUGUGGUUGAGUGAGUAAAACUUGAACAACCACUCUGUCUAGGAUCUCCGAUGUGGGUGUGAGCGUUCCAGCUGCUUUCCUGCCUCGUAGGGAAGCCUAGGGAAUACCUGCUGGAAAACAAGCUUCGCAGUGGGUACCUUCAGGUACCGUAGUGACCUUUAGCUCUGGAAAAGAACAUAGGUGUUUUUAAAAAGUUCACCGUGGCUAAAAAAUGCAUUGUCAAAAGUUUUGAGGCAGGAUAUUUUGAAUAAACAGCCUCAGACUGUCAUAUGAGUCAUACGUAACUGCAUGAGACAUCAUUUGUGAUUAUUUCGUUGGUCAGCCAUCAAAAGGAGACAGAUGUUCCUAAUGCUGAGGUGUGAGCCCAAACAAGAAUUACCCAUCAAAUAAUCAUUGGUUUCUAUUAUAAAACGAUCCUCAAUACUUAUGCAGAGGACGUUUGGCUGAAGAAUGGCUUGGAGGCAUGGACUGGCAGAAGUAAUGUUUGUUUGUAAUGUAAGGAGUAUAUCCAGAAAGCCACGUUGCCAUGACGGAAGCAUGAGCUCAGCGGACAGAUUUCUACUGUGCUGUCUAUCACUGACCCGUGUGACUAACUUUUGGCAAGACACAGCGUGCUGAAUGCCUCUGCUCAGGUAUGGGUUCACCCGGAGGACUCUGAAAACCUCGCCCACAUUAGCAGUGUGCUCUGCACCAUGCCUGUCCACCUCUUGUGUCUGUCCUGUAGCUAUGAUGAGUCUUGCCAUGAUGCUGUUCCCUGUGCAUCUUGGUGCAUUUUAUAAAGAUUGGGGAAUUAAGCACUACUGCAUAUAGGGGAAGUGAUGCAGCAGUCACUAUUCGUGUGGAGAAAGGAAAGCUGAAGUGAGUUGUGGGUGAUGCAAGGGUUUGGAGCAGACUUCUAUUUCCAGUCACCCAGUGCUUUGUCUUACCCUUACUCCUUUGUACCUGCUUUCCUCCAUUCUGUGACAGGAAGGUGAUAGCACUGCAAACUGCUUGGACGUUUGCAGAGCACAAGCAGUAGAACUAUUAAUUUGGUAACUCUUAGGCAUAUGCCUGCUUAAGGAAAUUGAGAAGGUGCCCCUAGGUGCAGAGCAGCUUGCAGAGGAUUCUGGGGGAGUCCUUGCCACAGCAUGGGCCCUAGUUCUCCUUAGGAGCUUAACCUUCCUAUCAGCUUUGGGGCACUAAGAGUUGCUGUAAUUUCAGACCUUUACAGCCAGAAGGCAGAAGACUUAACACGCCCAUUUUUCCACCCGUAAUUGCCAUCUGAAAGCAGGCAGUGGUGGCAGCAGUGUUCUGUCGAAGUAUUACAUUUUACACAAUGCCAGCUUGAAAUAAUUUAAAAAAUAAUCUUUUAACUGUGGAAUCAAUGUAAUAACGCUUAUGCUAAAAUGUAAACAGUAGGAUGGUAGGCUCUGGAGUACCAGUUCCUAGCUGGUAUGGUAUGCUGCUACUUGAGUGGAAAUCUGAAAUGAAGCGUGGGCUAGCAUUGGGCUGGCACCCUCUGCUUCCUCUGAGGAUGCAGCAGGGUGUGUUCAAGCUGAGGUGCAGCAAAAGCCAUGCCUGGCUGAGGAGGAAGGUAAAGCAUGCAUAUGGUUUGAUGGUACAGCUAAUCCGACCUAGUGACUAGCUAUCGCCAAGGGGGCGGCCGUGUUUUACACCCCUGAUUAGUCUCUCUCUGCCUCCCAUCCCUGUGCUGCUACUGGUAUGUGUUUGGACCUGCAGUGGCCUGAUUCAGGGAGCUAAGUAGCAGGGUAGUUUCCCUGCGUUUCACAGGGCUAAUUUUCUGCUAGUUUUGCUUCCUGAACUGUCUCCUCUCUUGAGACAUCAGACAGGUGUUGGUGCCAACACAAGACAGUGUGAUGGGAACGCAUAGCAAGUGAGGGGGAACGGAAAUGUCCUUUUAUGCAGCAGCUGGCUGUUAGAUUGUGUUAUCUGUACUCCCUGCAUCCUGAGUCUUCGUAACAGCAAAUGUCACAAAUCUCUUUGUGGGUGUAUAGGUGUGAUAGAUACUGCAGUAGAAGAUAAUAAAAUCUGUUUUCUGGUUUUGGUUUUCUUAGGAAAACCACUGGGAAACAUGUUCACCCAUAUUUAAUUUAACAACUGCUAGACUAGAGGAUAAAGAUAAAUGAGUUUAUGAACCUUAGCACUGACAAAUAGUUGUGAAAGCCUUUAGUCUCUUGUUCUCAAUUUCCCAUCUCAUGUGGUGAAGACUGUCAAUGCUUAGAUGGCAUUCAGGCUGGCAAAGCAUGCCGGAGGAGCUGUGCAAGCUAUCAGUAAUCUGUGGAAAAGUAGAGAUUUCUUCACAAGAGCUUUAGUGCUUAAUAUGAGAGCACUUUGUUUUAGGAGGGCCAGAUGUGCUACAUUUGACUUCUGAUGAACUAUUCACAAAAAUAGUAUUUUCAGUGGGUUUUGGUCUUUGCUAGGGGUCAAGGGAAAACCUUCUGGAAAUUCACUAUUUACGCUUAGAUGCUUCCACCUUUUCCAGCCACUUCCCCAUGCUGGAAUACCUUGAUUUUGCAUUUUCCAUUCCAAUGAAUAAUCUGCUUGUAUUUUUGUGAAACUUGCUGCAUCAUUUGAACCUAACAAGGAAUGGCAUAUUAGAAACUUCAAAAAAUCCUUCCUUUCAUAUCACAGUAUGAUUGUAGAUUCAUAAUUUCACCAGGUUUAUCUCUGUCAGUGACAUUUAUAAAGAACAGUAUUACAGUGGGCUAGCCAGCAGUGUCUUCAUACCUGAGGCAUCACCAAAAAAUAGCAAAGAAAUCUGAUACCAGGUUGUAUAUUUUUAUGCUAUAGGAUUAAUUUGAUUAUUUAUAGAAGCUAUCUGAUUACAGUGCACAUGAGACAGAAAGAAAACCUGAAAACCUAUCAGGGGGUUUCUAUGAAGAAACAUACAAAUAAUUUGUAAAUUCUGUUUUCUUUCUCAAACCACAGUGAAACUGCUCUCGCUUAAGUGUCAAGAAUGAGGGGGAGGAUAUGUUUCACUAAUGUCAAAAAGUGACCACUCCUAGACAGCAUCCACUUAACAACCCAAGGGUCUCUGCCAUCUCAUCCCUUGUACCACUGUUUGUAUAUAUUUUCUCUCAUCAUCACUAUCCUUGAUGGAGUCUCAGCUUGGCAAGUUCUGCGUUGAUAUGUAAGAAGGUAGUAUUGCUGCUCUGAGGAGCCAGCAUUCUGUGAGGAAAAAAAAAAAAAAGGAAUCUGCCAUCAUCUGCCUUUCUUUUUUGGUUGUUGUUGGGUAAUCUCUUAAUCCAGUACUUUUUUGUCAAAAUCUUGAAGGUGGUACCUGCCAAACGGCCUUUUUGCAGAGAUUAAAUGAGGAAUUGUUUGUCAAUAACUGUAUCAGGAAGGAUUUUCCACGUGUGUGGGAAUGUGCAAGGAAGGGCAUGGCAAUACAUGUGUGCUGAUUCUUGUUACUCUCUGGUGGAUCAUGUAUGGUGGAUUUGGAGUGCAUUUGAUUUUAUCAGUCAUUAAAAACUUAAGUACCUUUGUUAGCUAAUAUUUCAAUUAAAGAUCAAAAUAUCUACA
Long non-coding RNA from Falco peregrinus (peregrine falcon), 4094 nucleotides. RefSeq lists it as uncharacterized. NCBI's taxonomy places the organism in Eukaryota, Metazoa, Chordata, Aves, Falconiformes, Falconidae. The record is from RefSeq and is a predicted model, not a curated record. The transcript is spliced from 2 exons.